RNAcentral lists this transfer RNA (73 nucleotides) under Canis lupus familiaris (dog). It matches the Rfam family "tRNA". Rfam says of the family: Transfer RNA (tRNA) molecules are approximately 80 nucleotides in length. Their secondary structure includes four short double-helical elements and three loops (D, anti-codon, and T loops). Lineage: Eukaryota; Metazoa; Chordata; Mammalia; Carnivora; Canidae. The record is from Rfam by way of RNAcentral. RNAcentral also lists the same sequence under 1 other name.
GCCUGGCUGGCUCAGUGGGUAGAGCAUGUGACUCUUGAUCUCAGGGUUGUGAGUUUGAGCCCCAUGCUGGGUG